This is a long non-coding RNA of Arabidopsis lyrata subsp. lyrata, 501 nucleotides long. RefSeq lists it as uncharacterized. The record is from RefSeq and is a predicted model, not a curated record. The transcript is spliced from 2 exons. Lineage: Eukaryota; Viridiplantae; Streptophyta; Magnoliopsida; Brassicales; Brassicaceae.
AAUUACAAAUAUGAUAAAAACAAUAUAAUGGUUAGUUUCUAAAUUAAGCAUAAAUUGUUUAUAAAGUUAGUUAGACCAAAAGCCAUUGGUCCCACUCGUGAGCCAAGUUUGAGGUAUUUUAGUUUAGGUUUGAGUGGGAAUAUAAGUACCCCUGGCUUUGUAGAUAAUUACGAUUUCAGGAUUAUUGUUAGAAGAAAUAAACUUUGGUUUCUGGUCGUCCCUGAUUGGUUGAUGAAUAUCCCAGAAAUAAAAAAUUCAAUAAAAAAGGCUGUUUUGUGGAGAUUAUUUACAUUAACUGCCACUAUCCCAGAAAAGCCAUUGGAGAUGGCCUGAGACUCCCUGACAUGUGACAGGUUUUAAGUGAAGGCACUGAUAUUAAUGAGCGGACAUAAUCUAGAACGAAAAAACCCAAAUCGACGACGCAGAUUUCCAGGCUCAGAUUCUCUCUGUAGGCUGUGAGGUUAUCUCUGCUUGUUUGGAUGAGAAGAUCAGAGUCUAAGA